Molecule: non-coding RNA, 28 nt
Filed under: Mus musculus (house mouse)
Lineage: Eukaryota; Metazoa; Chordata; Mammalia; Rodentia; Muridae
Source: RNAcentral
UUUCCUGCGAUGUGUGCUUGGAUACUGU